GACGAACGCUGGCGGCGUGCUUAACACAUGCAAGUCGAGCGGUAAGGCCCUUUCGGGGGUACACGAGCGGCGAACGGGUGAGUAACACGUGGGUGACCUGCCCUCAGCUCUGGGAUAAGCCUGGGAAACUGGGUCUAAUACUGGAUAUGACUCCACGGUGCAUGUCGUGGGGUGGAAAGCCUUGUGCGGCUGAGGAUGGGCCCGCGGCCUAUCAGCUUGUUGGUGGGGUGANGGCCUACCAAGGCGACGACGGGUAGCCGGCCCGAGAGGGCGACCGGCCACACUGGGACUGAGACACGGCCCAGACUCCUACGGGAGGCAGCAGUGGGGAAUCUUGCGCAAUGGGCGAAAGCCUGACGCAGCGACGCCGCGUGAGGGAUGAC
This 383-nucleotide ribosomal RNA is filed under the name uncultured bacterium. RNAcentral's name for it is "bacterial SSU rRNA". It matches the Rfam family "Bacterial small subunit ribosomal RNA", at positions 28 to 412 of the family's 1533-position model. The record is from RNAcentral.